GUACUCCACAAUUAGAUUGCGAUAUAGGUUUGUAACCAAUCAAUCUUGGUACCAUAUAGUACUCUAUAUGCCUUGUCAGUUUGUAACCAAUCAAUCUUGGUACCAUAUAGUACUCUAUAUGCCUUGUCAGUUUGUAACAAUAAAUCUGGGGACUCC
Haliotis rubra (blacklip abalone) is the source of this 156-nucleotide long non-coding RNA. RefSeq lists it as uncharacterized. NCBI's taxonomy places the organism in Eukaryota, Metazoa, Mollusca, Gastropoda, Lepetellida, Haliotidae. The record is from RefSeq and is a predicted model, not a curated record. The transcript has 2 exons.